UAGGGAAUAUUGGUAAUCUGGGAAACCGGGAACCAGCAACGCCGCGUGCGCGAUGAAGGCCUUCGGGUUGUAAAGCGCUUUUUAAAGGGGUGAGGAAGGACAGUACCUUUAGAAUAAGCCUCGGCUAACUACGUGCCAGCAGCCGGGGUAAAACGUAGGAGGCGAGCGUUAUCCGGAUUUACUGGGCGUAAAGCGUGUGCAGGCGGUUUGAUAAGUUGGAUGUGAAAGCUCCUGGCUUAACCGGGAGAGGUCGUUCAAAACUAUCAGACUAGAGAGUGGUAGAGGGAGAUGGAAUUCCGCGUGUAGUGGUGAAAUGCGUAGAUAUGCGGAGGAACACCAGUGGCGAAAGCGGUCUCCUGGCCCAUCUCUGACGCUCAGACACGAAAGCUAAGGUAGCAAACGG
This 403-nucleotide ribosomal RNA is filed under the name uncultured bacterium. RNAcentral's name for it is "bacterial SSU rRNA". It matches the Rfam family "Bacterial small subunit ribosomal RNA", at positions 355 to 775 of the family's 1533-position model. The record is from RNAcentral.